GACGAACGCUGGCGGCGUGCUUAACACAUGCAAGUCGAACGGAAAGGCCCUGCUUUUGUGGGGUGCUCGAGUGGCGAACGGGUGAGUAACACGUGAGUAACCUGCCCUUGACUUUGGGAUAACUUCAGGAAACUGGGGCUAAUACCGGAUAGGAGCUCCUGCUGCAUGGUGGGGGUUGGAAAGUUUCGGCGGUUGGGGAUGGACUCGCGGCUUAUCAGCUUGUUGGUGGGGUAGUGGCUUACCAGGGCUUUGAGGGGUAGCCGAGCUGGGAGGAGGACCGGAACCAGCGGACUGGGAAUGAGACACGGCCCACACGGGGAGGGGGGGGAGGAGAGGGGAACAUAGGGCACGGGGCGAAAGCCUGACACAGCCGUGCGGGGUGAGUGGGCAUGGGGUUAGUGAGCCAAUGCCCUUUGACACGAGAGGAGAAUGACAGUACCGGGAAAAGAAGCGCCGGCUAACUCCGUG
This 468-nucleotide ribosomal RNA is filed under the name uncultured bacterium. RNAcentral describes it as "partial 16S ribosomal RNA". It matches the Rfam family "Bacterial small subunit ribosomal RNA", at positions 28 to 507 of the family's 1533-position model. The record is from RNAcentral.